UUUUGUUGUUUUCUGCAGCUGAAAUUUAACCUGUUUUGUCUGGCAACUUUAUUUAGUGCCAUGCUUUAGAGGUGUUCUUAGAAGCCCCAGUACUCAACCAGGCCUGAAGUCAGCCACUGUCUCCAUCUGUAUUCCCAAAUAAAUCCCACAGGCAUGAGCUUCCUAAGGGGACAGGAAUGGGGCCACUAGGGUCAGCCUGCACUCUUAGGCACAGGCACAUUGGCCAGAAGGCCAAGGCCCUGUGUGUGACACUGGGAGUCCCUCCAGGAAGAAGGUUCUGCAAGCACCAUCAUACCUUCAAGAAACAUGAGAAGGGCUGGUAUUGUGGCUCAGUGGUAGAGCACUUGUGUAGCAUGCAUGAGGCAGUGGGUUCCAUCCCCAGCACCACGUAAAAAAAAAAAAAAAAACUAAAUAAAAGUGCUGUGAACAUCUGCAACUAAAAAUAACAAAAACAAAUGAGAAGAGGCUUCUAGUCCCUGCUCUUCCCCAGGCCCUCUGGGCUCUGUAUAUUCAGUGGUGAAGGAAUCUGGCCCAUGCCCAGCUUCUCAGAGGCAUAGCAGAGAUGUUCAGAUAAAAUGUGCACAGGAAAUGGCACGGCAAAAGACUAUGGUCGUGAUGUCACAUACGCGGAAACAAACCUGGAGGGAAGAGUCACCUGCUUGCAACCAAAGAGCAGAAUUUUGAGAGCUCAGCUUCCAGAGGAAUGUGCCCGUCCAUGAAGAUAGAUGGAGCAGGAAUUUGCUGUCUAGGUGAAGUAUGGAAAGGAGGGGAGUCAGAACCGGGAUUCCUGUCUUAAAUAAGUUCUUACUUUCUCUGCAGAAAUCCAAAAUAAGGAGAGACAAGAAAGAAAGCGAAAAGGAAAUCGCAUCUAUGAGAGGCCCCCGUGGCUCGGUGCCAGGCACUUCCUGCAGGUCUCUGUCCACAUUGUUUGUGUCUUGCUCAAGCUUAUGAUGGCAUCAGAGAUGGGGCCUCACUGUGUUGCCCCGGCUGGCUUCAAACUCCUGGCCCCAAGUGAUCCUCCUGAGUACCUGGGACAACAGCCAUGAACCAUCAAUCCCAAGCCCAGCAGGAGAUUUAUUCUUUCAAAGAGAUGUCUUCAGAGUCACACAGUAAAUGGAAGAAGUAGGAUGCCUUCUUCUGAGCUCUGUUCUGUUUCUUCUGAUUCUCAGCAGAUUGCAGUUAAGCUGCGGGUCUGUGACAUGGCAACAGAUGAGGUAGGAGGAAAGGAUGACCGUGUGGCUCUUUUAAGAACUGACUGGGAACUGCAGGGCUUUCUCAGAACAUUUCCCCUUCAGCUAUUGUCAGUAUCCCCCUUGCUGGGAUGUUGGCCAAAACCCCGAUGCCUGAGCCCCACUCAGACCUGUGAAGGGGAAGGCUGAACUCUGCAGGUGAAAGGGCCCACCUGGGAGUCCACGAGAGCAGGCAAGGAGGAGGCCACCUAGGAUAAGCAUGGAGAGCUUAUCCUAUGCUGGCUGUAACCAGUAGACCAGCAAUUUCAGUCUUGUUGGCAGGUGUGUUCACGUAAAGGCAAUGGCUGCAUCAGACCGUCGUAGUUUAAUGCCUUUAGAUAAAUCUCCUGAUUGUCCCUUGUUCCUUCUCCCUCACCACAAUCUCCUGACUGUGUUGGCAUCCCUGUGUGUUUGGCUGACCAGCCAACCUGAGCACUCCAGUCCUCUGUGUGCUUACAUUUCCAACUAUACAUGGGCAUUCUGGAAGAAUCUAUUCCUUGCAAAUCUGCUGAGCAUGGUACAUCCUCAAGGUCUGUCCACCUCUGUCCACCCCUGACUUCUCCCUGAGGAUGUCCUGCCUUCAGACUUUCACUACCUCUUGCAAGCCCCCAGGCCUUCCUGUUCUUCAGGAAGUCUGGGUCUAGUAAUCAGAUGUGGGGCUGUGACAAUAUUAGAAUUACUUGAGACAGGUCUUUUUCAGAAGACCUAAAAUUAGUUGUUGUUGUUGUUUUAAUUUCUUAGUCACUUGUUUCUUAAAGUAUACUUUAAAAUUAAACAGGAUCUGAGUGGUUAGUUAUUUGUCUCAGCACUAGGUUCCCAUGACCAAACUUGAAGGCUGGAAGUUUUUGAUGAUCACACUGGACUUGCUCCUUACACUGGCUGCGGUUCAGAGCUCUCAUUUUGCCUCUGCUGGGAUCUACCUGUUGCCUUUGAAAGGAGGGGGAGCAUUUCAUCUGUAGCAUCUCCCAUGAGCAUUCCCAGCCUACCUAGUCACUAAGCAUCCUCAAAGAUUCUGGAAAUUUCCUUCACCAGCAUUUUCUGGGCUACCUUGGGAGCAUAAAAAGAAGACAAAUGAACGCCUGAUAAUAUUCCUACCUUCCAAAGUCUUUAAUUCCUUCCUCCACAUUGUAUAUCCUCUUCAUUUACAUGGUCAUCUCUUCAGACUAGGUUUCAGGCAACCAACCAAGAAAAUACUGAGGAACACUUCCAACUAUUCCAUUCAGCAUAUUAAACCCAAAUUUUUAGAAAAUACAUCCAUGUACACAAAUCCGGUCUGAAUCUAAAAUUUUGUUGUUUUCCUCCUUAGAAAAUCAUUCCCAUGUGUGUUCUCCCACAUUAAAGUAGAUUAUCAAAUCUGGAUGAGUGAGUGUGUGUGUGUGUGUGUGUGUGUGUGUGUGUUUGUGUACAUCUUGUCCACACUGUGUGCUAACCUUUACCUCUUGGGUUAUACUUGAUAAUUGACCCCUCUGGGCUUGCUGGUCCCUAAUCCUAAUUACUUUUUUGGAGAUAAUGAGGAGUGAAGGGAGAGAGCAGGAGGAUAAUUGGCUUCCUUUGCAAGGUAACAGGACUAGUUCCCUUAGGUGCAUCUUCAUGUGAAGCAAUAAUGGCCUCAUUAGAUAUAGGAGGAGGUUCUGUUUUGGUUAGCAACAGAGGCCUAGUGACAUUUGGGGGUACAGAGUUCCCUGAGUUCUUCAGAUAUUUGCAUAUAUUCCCAUCUCAGCUCUUGACACACCACACUUUCUCCAUCAAGGCCCUAACUUUCACACAACAGACGGGGUGAGGCUGUGAAUUCGGUUGACUUUGUCAUUUGGCAACUCAUGGGAUUUGGCUUUCAGUUCUGUCUUAUGUCUGUAAGAAAUGAGAUUCUUUUUAUUAUAAUCUUAGAAGGAGCUUGUGUGUCAAUCUGUGUUGUGAUCUGAGAGUCUGAGGACCUGAACUUGUCAUUCAUAUUUGUGUAAGCAGAUUAGAGCCAAUAAAAGAUGUCUUCAAUUUUC
This is a long non-coding RNA of Marmota monax (woodchuck), 3223 nucleotides long. RefSeq lists it as uncharacterized. The record is from RefSeq and is a predicted model, not a curated record. Lineage: Eukaryota; Metazoa; Chordata; Mammalia; Rodentia; Sciuridae. The transcript is spliced from 2 exons.